UUCCGGUUGAUCCUGCCGGACCUGACUGCUAUCGGAUUGAUACUAAGCCAUGCGAGUCUUUGCAGUAAUGCAAGGCAGACGGCUCAGUAACACGUAGUCAACUUACCCUAUGGACGAGGAUAAUCUCGGGAAACUGAGCAUAAUACUCGAUAGAUCAUAAUGCCUGGAAUGGUUUAUGAUUAAAAUGAUUCGUCGCCAUAGGAUGGGACUGCGGCCUAUCAGCUUGUUGGUGAGGUAAUGGCCCACCAAGGCGAUUACAGGUACGGGCUCUGAGAGGAGAAGCCCGGAGAUGGGUACUGAGACAAGGACCCAGGCCCUAUGGGGCGCAGCAGGCGAGAAAACUUUGCAAUGUGCGAAAGCACGACAAGGUUAAUCCGAGUGAUUUCUGCUAAAGAAAUCUUUUGCAAGUCAUAAAACCACUAGUGAAUAAGGGGUGGGCAAGUUCUGGUGUCAGCCGCCGCGGUAAAACCAGCACCUCAAGUGGUCAGGAGGAUUAUUGGGCCUAAAGCAUCCGUAGCCGGCUCUGUAAGUUUUCGGUUAAAUCCAUGUGCUCAACGCAUGGGCUGCCGAAAAUACUGCAUAGCUAGGGAGUGGGAGAGGUAGACGGUACUCAGUAGGAAGGGGUAAAAUCCUUUGAUCUAUUGAUGACCACCUGUGGCGAAGGCGGUCUACCAGAACACGUUCGACGGUGAGGGAUGAAAGCUGGGGGAGCAAACCGGAUUAGAUACCCGGGUAGUCCUAGGUGUAAACGCUGUGGACUUGAUGUUGGGAGUGCUCCGAGCACCCUCAGUGUCGAAGCGAAGGUGAUAAGUCCACUGCCUGGGGAGUACGGUCGCAAGGCUGAAACUUAAAGGAAUUGGCGGGGGAGCACCGCAACCUGAGGAUUGUGCGGUUUAAUUGGAUUCAACGCCGGG
RNAcentral lists this ribosomal RNA (914 nucleotides) under uncultured marine archaeon. RNAcentral's name for it is "bacterial SSU rRNA". It matches the Rfam family "Archaeal small subunit ribosomal RNA", at positions 1 to 922 of the family's 1478-position model. The record is from RNAcentral.